Molecule: ribosomal RNA, 121 nt
Filed under: Chroomonas placoidea
Lineage: Eukaryota; Cryptophyceae; Pyrenomonadales; Chroomonadaceae
Source: RNAcentral
UAAACCUUGGUACUAAUAGCGUAGUAGAACCACUCCGAUCCAUCCCGAACUCGGUUGUGAAAUGCUACAGCGGCGAUGAUACUGAAGGAGGGAUCCUUUGGGAAAGUAGCACAGUGCCAAG